Long non-coding RNA from Brassica rapa (field mustard), 3879 nucleotides. RefSeq lists it as uncharacterized. The record is from RefSeq and is a predicted model, not a curated record. Lineage: Eukaryota; Viridiplantae; Streptophyta; Magnoliopsida; Brassicales; Brassicaceae.
UAAGUUAUUAUUAAUAAUAAAAAAAAACUUAUCCAAAAUCUGAAAGAUAUAUUUUAAAAUAAAAGAUAAUUCCUAUAUAUUUUGUGUUGUUAUUGAAAACUAAAAACAUUAAUAUUAUUCACAGAAAACAUAUAACUUAAUAUUAUUCAAAAAAUAUUAAUCAUAUUUUAUACUCAAUUAUUAAUUUUAAUAAAUAAUUUUAGAUAAUUUUUUAUUACAUGUCAAUAGAAAAAAAAUUUAGUUGAGAGGUUUUAAUGUUAAAGCCCCAUAAAUCUUCUAUCUUUUACUAUAUUAUAUUAAAAUAAAUAUAAAUUCAUGUAUAUAGUUUUAUGUAUAUUUUUAUGUAUAUAAAUGUUUUGAGGAUUAUUUUACAUAAUAAUAGAUAUUUUAUUAAAAUAAAAAACUUUAGCGUGUAUAGAAAAAUUAAUAUUAAAUUAAUUAUUAAAUAUUUAAAAAGCGUGAAAAUAACUUAUUCAAAUUUUUGAAUUGAUAAUAUAUUUCUUUACAAAAUUUUAUAAAAUUAUUAAGCCCGCAAGUACGGGCAAAACACCUAGUUUAAUUAAUAUAACUGAAACUAAAUUAUCUAUAUUAUGUAAGUAGCUAUUAUAUUGCUAUAAAGCAAAAAUAAAGUUUUAUUAUGACAUUAAAAAUAUAUGCUGAAAAAAAAUUAUGUGGAUUUCAAUAAAGUUUUAUUAUGACAUUAAAAUAAAGUUCUUUUCUUUUCAUUUUCAUAUAGCGUUAAAUUUCAUUUUCGGUAUAUUUUUUUCACUUUUAGGUUUAGUGGUUGUAAAUUUGAGGCGGCGAAAGGUGUAACAUCGAUAUAUGGUGAUGCGGAGGUUCCUUUGCAUCAAGACCUAGCUUUGUGGAGGUAGAUGCAGGUCGUGAUCCCCAAAUUUUCUGUUAUCUCCCAAGUUUUCUUUUCGGUUUUUGGUUUCAGUAGCGAGGCGGCUGCAGCUUUCUCGUGAGGAGGUGACUGAUUGUUCUGAAGUUUUGUUGGAGAUUAGAUCCAUGAAUCUUACCUCUCUGCUAUUAGUUUCUUUGAGGACAUUGGCUUGAGCAUGGGGAACUCGGGUUUUCUGAUGGAGGUGGUGGAGGUAAAUUGGUUGUGGAACGUGGCUUCGGCCCCUCUACAUACCGGUUCUGCAUCGGCAAAGACUCUUCAAUUUGUAUGCUUUUGUUUGGUCUUCGUUUCAUUUUUUUUUUCAUCGAUAUGUUAUGUUUUUUUUAUUUAUUUUUUCGAUGGAAUUUACCCUUCUCUUCUUCAAUUUUCUUGUCUAGUUCUUUUUGAAAAUUACCUCUUCGUCCAGUUCGGGAUAAAUGGAGUUUUCGAAGAACAACAGUUUUAGUUGAUGUAGCUGCUGCAGUAGAGGUUUAACUUUGGGCUCGUUUUAUAUUUUGAACUGGUUUGUUCUAGUUUUAGCUCGUUUUUAUUUUCAGCUGUCAUUGUAUGUUUAAAUAACCAAGAAAUGAUAUGAAUAGCUUAAAAUAUAUGUAAUUCAAUAAAUUUGGAACACCGAAAAUUAUAAAGGAAACUUUGCAUCUUGAAGAUUUUUCUUAUAUCACCAGAGCUAAAUAAUCUUCUGUAUAUAAGUUAUUUUACAUAGAAAAAUGCAAUCUUUUAAAUAUAAUAAAUAUGCGAUAAAAAAUGAAAACGAAUGUAAUUGUAUAAUUAAGGACAGACUGAGUUGGAAGAAUGAUGAAUGGAUUGUCUGAUCUUUUUCAUCAUCUUUCCGGCUUUGCGGCCAGCCAGACAUAUUGCUUUUUUUUUGUUCUAAAUUUUAUUUUAUUUUGUUAUUAUUUUCUUACGCAUACAUAAAAGUGUAAAAUGCAUAUACUCAUAUAUAUGUACGCGCAGUUAAAUUGUGGAUUCCACUAACAUAAUAUAUAUAAAUAUAGUUUUUUGUUACUAUUCUACUUCCAAGAUUUUUUUUUCUAUUCUACUUCCAAGAUCUAUAUAAAAACAUUUUAAAAAAUUAUAUUUGUAUGUUACAAAAUAUUUACUGAUUUGUGCUUUUUAGUUUUUACCUAUAAUAAUCAAGUUUUGUUUUAAGUAACUUUAGUUUAGUGAACGCGCAAGUGCGAGCAAAUAUAAACCUAUAUUUUCAUGAUAACUGUUGUGAAAUUUUACGAUUAGAAAUUAAUAAUCUAUUCAAAUUGAAUAUCUGAAAGCGAUAAUAUAAAUGUUAAGCCUUUUUCAAAAAAUAAUAAUACAAACGUUCAUAAAUAUAUUUAUUUUUUUAUUAAUAUAUUUUUGAAUAUAUUUUACAGAGUACUGACAUCAAAAACUAACUAGUGGAAUUCUUAUAAUAAAUUUUUCUUUCGAAUUCUAUAUCAGAUUUGUAGCUUUUUUUUUUUGAAAAGAAAAAAUAUUGUGUUUUCUUUAAUGGUGUAUAAAGUAUGAGUGUUUUUUUUUGUUUUUGAAAAAGCUAAAGUAUGAGUGCUCAAAUAACUUCUCCAAAUGUACUUCUAACUGUGUUUCAUGUCUUAAGCAUGUCCAUAAUUUAAGGUAUCAUCUUUAAGAAAAACAAAUUAAAGGUAUCAUAUUCAUAUCAUAUUCGUGAUAUAUUCCAAAUAGUUUCCACGCAUAAUCAUCCCUCUAGAUUAAUUCUGUUUUUAAUCAGUUAACCAAUUUUCCUUUUAUUUAAAUAAUUGUAGUGCAUCUAGAAUAUGGCAUUUAGACUUUUUUUUUGUUAGACUAUUCCCCAAUUCUAAUUUUUUUAAAAGAAAGGAAUAUUACCUUGAAAUGUAAAAGGGUGUAAAUAAUUGAAUCAAAUUGGAUAAUUAAGAAGAAUAAAUAAUUGAAACACUUUGGCAAAGAGAAACCAAAAUUUAUAAUAAUAAUAAUAAUAAAUUUGAUAAGAAAAAUGACUUGAUGAGGUCAAAUUUUGACUUUGUAAACGACGAAUGAUUAGACACCCAAAUUCUGGUCAGCGAAAUAUAUCAUAAUUAAUCGCAUUAAGGUUUACAUAUUUAUAUAUAAAAGUUAAUAUCACUAAAACCAUAUUCUAUAACCGCUAACAUAUUUCAUUCAUACAAUAAAAAAUAAUUGCUAGCGAAUUUUAUUUUUGGUGAUAUUAGUUAUAAUUUUAGAACAACAUUAACCGUGAGUAUUUUAAUACUUUUUAUUUUUUAGUUAUGUUAUUAAAAUUUAUUUUGUUAAAAUAAUAUAAACUACUAGAAUUUAAACACUUGUCACUUUAAUCAGAAGACCGAUUUUUCAAACUCUAGAUAAAGGACCGAUUCUCAACUGUUCACAUAUUUUUCUUUUUUUCUGAUUUUUUUUUUUUCUAGAACUCCUCUACAACCCAUAGUUGGAGGUGCUCUUAGCUGCCAUUACCAUUCCAUGCUUAUAAUGACUACCUAAUUCUAUGUUUUCUCAUUAUGAAUGCAACCCAAUAAUACGUUACGAAAAUAAUUUACGAAGUGGACAAUUGGCUAAUAGAAUGCUCAAGACACGACGAGACGCUUCGAAUUAUUUUCCCAGAGAAAGGUUCUCUGAAACAGGGAAUUGCGUACGUGCGAGAGUCCAUAGUCACUAAUCCACUAUGGUGAUUCACUCUUCGCCUUGGAAAUAUACUCGACGAUUUUGUAACGCUUUAACUGUCCAAGGAGUCUUACCACGUCCAUUCACUAUUCAUGGGUUUCAUUCCGUGCAACGGAUUGGAUAAUUUUACGAGACUUAAAAGACUUGUUUACUGACGUUACAAUAACUACAUGAAUUUUUUUUCAUGUUUUGACUUCAUUCAGAUGAUAUUAGAAAUCACUUUCUGAUAAGUUACCCAUUCUACGUGUAACUAUAAUUAUGAAGUUUUUUUCUGGAUAUGUAACCGAAAAAAUAAGUAUAAUUUGAUGAUUAUAUAGUCAAAAAAAUUCUAUUAA